GAUACUUUAAGUAUCCUAAAGGGUUGUCGUAGACUACGACGUUGAUAGGCAGGGUGUGUAAGCGUUGUGAGGCGUUGAGCUAACCUGUACUAAUUGCCCGUGAGGCUUAACCAUACAACACCCAAGGGGUUU
This 132-nucleotide ribosomal RNA is filed under the name Vibrio alginolyticus. Its description in RNAcentral is "partial 23S ribosomal RNA". The stretch from base 1 to 114 matches the Rfam family "Bacterial large subunit ribosomal RNA", at positions 2815 to 2925 of the family's 2925-position model. The record is from RNAcentral. Lineage: Bacteria; Pseudomonadati; Pseudomonadota; Gammaproteobacteria; Vibrionales; Vibrionaceae.